AACGUACGGUGUCGGCUACCUUACGGACUCGCUGGUUAAGAUGGCGGCGCCUGGGCGACAUUGGCGGCUCUAGGUGGGCGACCUAUUUGUUGGCUGCUAAGCGCUCGUCCGGGGCGUGCGGAGUAAGAGUGCGGUGCCGCGGGGGCGGGACCAGGAGCGGAAGUGGUUGUGGGCGCCUUUGCCACCGCCGCGGACGCCGCCGCCGAGGGGCUGGUUCAGGUUCGCGGGUUGCUGCCAGGGAUCCGGAGCGGGUGCGCUGUGAGCGGAGAAAUGGAAGGAGACGGUUCAGACCUGGAACCUCCAGAUGCCGGGGAGGACAGCAAGUCUGAGAAUGGGGAGAACGCUCCCAUCUACUGCAUCUGCCGCAAACCGGACAUCAAUUGCUUCAUGAUUGGAUGUGACAACUGCAAUGAGUGGUUCCAUGGGGACUGCAUCCGGAUCACUGAGAAGAUGGCCAAGGCCAUCCGGGAAUGGUACUGUCGGGAGUGCCGAGAGAAGGACCCGAAGCUGGAGAUUCGUUAUCGGCACAAAAAGUCCCGGGAGCGGGAUGGCAGUGAGCGGGACGGCAGUGAGCCCCGGGAUGAGGGAGGAGGGCGCAAGAGGCCUGCUUCAGAUCCAGAACUGCAGCGCCGGGCAGGGUCAGGGACAGGGGUUGGGACCGUGCUUGCUCGGGGCUCCGCUUCGCCCCACAAAUCUUCUCCACAGCCUUUGGUGGCUACACCCAGCCAGCAUCACCAGCAGCAGCAGCAGCAGCAGCAGCAGCAGCAGCAGCAGCAGCAGCAGCAACAGAUCAAACGGUCGGCCCGAAUGUGCGGCGAGUGCGAGGCAUGCCGGCGCACGGAAGACUGUGGCCACUGUGACUUCUGCCGUGACAUGAAGAAGUUCGGGGGCCCCAACAAGAUCCGGCAGAAGUGCCGGCUUCGCCAGUGUCAACUGCGGGCACGGGAAUCGUACAAGUACUUCCCUUCCUCGCUCUCGCCGGUGACGCCCUCAGAGGCCCUGCCAAGGCCCCGCCGGCCACCACCCACUCAACAGCAGCCACAGCCAUCUCAGAAGCUGGGGCGUAUCCGUGAAGAUGAGGGGACAGUGUUGUCAUCCGUGGCUAAGGAGCUACCGGAGGCUACAGCAACGCCUGAACCACUUUCCGAUGAGGACCUAGCACUGGACCCUGAUCUGUACCAGGACUUCUGUGCUGGGGCCUUUGAUGAUCACGGCCUACCCUGGAUGAGUGACGCCGAAGAGUCCCCGUUCCUGGAUCCGGCCCUGAGGAAACGGGCGGUAAAAGUGAAGCAUGUGAAGCGUCGAGAGAAGAAGUCUGAGAAGAAGGUGAUGGAGAGGAAGGAGGAGCGGUACAAACGGCAUCGACAGAAGCAGAAACACAAAGACAAAUGGAAACACCCAGAGAGGGCUGACACCAAGGACCCUGCAUCCCUGCCGCAGUGCCUGGGGCCUGGCUGUGUGCGGGCCGCCCAGCCUGCUUCCAAGUACUGUUCCGAUGACUGUGGCAUGAAGCUGGCAGCCAACCGAAUCUAUGAGAUCCUCCCCCAGCGCAUCCAGCAGUGGCAGCAAAGCCCCUGCAUUGCCGAAGAGCACGGCAAGAAGCUACUAGAACGCAUCCGCCGUGAGCAGCAGAGUGCCCGCACCCGUCUCCAAGAAAUGGAGCGCAGAUUCCACGAGCUCGAGGCCAUCAUUCUUCGAGCUAAGCAGCAGGCUGUGCGUGAGGACGAGGAGAACAAUGAGAACGACAGUGAUGAUACAGAUCUGCAGAUCUUCUGCGUCUCCUGUGGGCAUCCCAUCAACCCACGCGUUGCCUUGCGCCACAUGGAGCGUUGCUAUGCCAAGUAUGAGAGCCAGACAUCCUUUGGGUCCAUGUACCCCACACGCAUUGAAGGGGCUACCCGACUCUUCUGCGAUGUCUACAAUCCCCAGAGCAAAACGUACUGUAAGCGGCUCCAGGUGCUAUGUCCUGAGCACUCACGGGACCCCAAAGUGCCAGCUGAUGAGGUCUGCGGGUGUCCACUUGUACGGGAUGUCUUUGAGCUCACAGGUGACUUCUGCCGCCUGCCCAAGCGCCAGUGCAAUCGCCAUUAUUGCUGGGAGAAGCUUCGGCGUGCAGAAGUGGACUUGGAGCGUGUUCGGGUGUGGUACAAGCUGGACGAGCUGUUUGAGCAGGAACGAAAUGUUCGCACAGCCAUGACCAACCGAGCAGGCUUACUUGCCCUGAUGCUGCACCAGACCAUCCAGCACGACCCACUCACUACCGACUUGCGAUCUAGUGCCGACCGCUGAGCUCCACCAGCCCAGAGCCCCUCAGCCCUGCAUUCCAGUUAGGGGAGUGGCCCUGCGUCGCCCGCUUUCUGUUCCUCCAUUCAUCCGUUUCUUCCACCGCUCCUUAGUUUUAUCCCUCUGCCCAUCUACUUUUUGGCUUCCUUUUGCCCUUAUUAAAGGGCCUCUGACUUCCCGUUGUCACUGUCCCUCUCCAUAUUCAGUGCUGGGGUGAGACCGUGGAGUUUACUCACCCUUGCCUGUACCCUCCCCGUAAACAAAUGGGUUUUGUUAAUAAAAUUUUCAACAACCAAUAAGGGUAUCUCUUGAGAGUCUUCAUCCUUCUAUUUUCAGUUGUGGUCCUGACCCAUGACAAGAUAGAGGUGGCAUAUCUACUCGGGAGGGGCUCUGCCCAGAGGUCAUGCACUCACGUUGCCUUCUCCUCCCAAAGACCAAGAGGAUGCUUCUUCACCAGGAGCUCCAUCCAGUCUGUCCUGCCCAAAAGAGACACAGAAGAAUGCCAUUCAACAAUUGAUUAAGAGUCUUUUAUUUGUAGGCAGUUGAGAGCAUGCUCAUACCAAAGAGACCCUUCAACCCCAGAGAGAGGCGGGAUGGGGCUUAUAAAGCCCGAACUACAAUUGCAUUAGACCAAGGCUGAGUGGCUGAAGUUUCUACAGUUCCUGUUAAAAGAUUCCAAAUGCUCUAGUUGAUUAGAACUAUGGUCUUCCUGAAACUACAGGUAUGGCGAGACUAGAAUGUUUUCUAAGCAAGAUGUGGUUAGCCAGGCUGGGGUGGGUGGUUGUGUGAGGCACACAAAAUGGGAUUUCCUUGGUUAGUUUAUUCUCCACUGGUUUUAGGAGAGUCAAAGCGCUGACUUGUUAUCUUCCAGUGGCAUGGAGUUGUGCUGGGCCCUUAUGAGUGUUAAUCUGACAAAGGCUAUUCGUUGUUUGAUGAAGUUUAAGAACCAGUUGAUUAAACAAAGCCCAAUUGCCAGUCCUAGGAGGAGAAGAACAAGGAGACUUUGAGACCCGUAUUUAAGGUAGUCAGCCGUGGAUUCCAACCAAACCAGGAACUGUUGGCCUCUUUUCUUUUGGUGUUUACUUAGAUUUUCUUAGACCAUUUUGUAAGGUGUUUUUAAUAAGGACUGAUAUAUUUGCAUAGAAACCGCUAGCUUUUCCUAAGGAUACACAUAGAUCUCACCAAAGCAUGAACAGUACAUCUAGCUCCUCCCCCCAAUUCUGUAGAACUGUCUCAGCCAAAGAUUUCAACCUGAUUGAGAAGCAUUUCAAGGGAAGUCAGUAGGAUUUGUGGGUCAUCUGGGAUAUUCCAACCUCACUUCUUGAGAUAAUCAUUAGGGCUGCUGUUUGAUCUGGGCUAAGUCUUCUGAGGAGAGAGCCUCCAGCAUAUGGUGGAGCUGGAAGCCAGGAGGGAAUGUGCUCUGAGCCCCCUUGGGCCAUUGUAAGCAUAUACCUUGAGAAAACAUGGAUAGUAACACACAAGGUUAGACUCCUGUAGUCUGUCAGAGGCCAAGCAUUAUUGUAAGUACAGAGUACAGGCUAACCAGGAUCCUUGCAGUGCCAAGUAGGCUUUUGAAUCAGACAGGCUGAGGGUGAAAGUAUACUGCAGGAUUCUGAGAAGGGAGAUUUUUGGAAAUUAGAGUCAUGUUAUAAAGCAUGAAAAACUAUUAUAUCUUCCUAAGGUUAACUGCAGGGCAGAGACAGGACAGGUGGACUUGCUGUCAUUUGUAACAAUUGGUAUUUUGAUCUCUAGCCCUGCAUAGUGAGGCAGUUUGGAAUUCACAGCCAGCAAUCUCCAGCAAAUCUGGGCUGAGAAGGAUUAAGCAGCUGGUGUAUUUCUUCUGACAUGGGAAACAAGACUCAGAGAUUGUGGGGAACUGUAUUUGAUUUAUUCAGAAUGGGGUAGAGGUAAAGAGAGGGAUGAAGUCGGGUGCUGUGGGAGAGGCAAAAAGUGGGUCUCCUACAUUGGCUAUAGAGACAAUUGGCCCUGGAGGCAACCAUUGGUUAAUGGGUGAGCAAAGCUCCUUCAUUAUAUUCUGUAAUGUACAAUCAGAGGUUCCAGGUGGACACAACUCCCCUGAAAUAGUUAAGGACCUGUUGUAUCCAAAUGAAGAUAACUAUGCUGGAUAGUUUUGUGUGAACUUGACAUAGACUAGAGUCAGUUGAGGAAAUGCCUCCAUGAGAUCCAGCUGUAGGGCAUUUUCUCAAUUAGUGAUCCAUGGGGGAGGGUCCAGCCCAUAGUGGGUGGUGCCGUCCCUGGGCUGGUGGUCCUGGGUUCUAUAAGAAAGCAAGCUGAGCAAGCCAUGCAGAGCUAGCCAGGAAGCAGCACCCCUCCAUGGCCUCUGCAUCAGCUCCUGCCUCCAGGUUCCUGCCCUGCUCGAGUUCCUGUCCUGACUUCCUUCAAUAUGAACAGUAAUAUGAAAGUAUAAAUCAAAUAAAUCCUUUCCUCCCCAAGCUGCUUUUGGGUCAUGGUGUUUUGUCACAGCAAUAGAAACACUAAGACAAUGACAUAACUGCCUCAUCUUGAUAGAUGCCACAUCCAGUGCAGCAAAUGCUAAAACUUGGAGAUCCUGGAGGAGAAGAGCAAUGACCUCUUGGGCAGGGACUCACAUGCACUCUCUGAGUUCCUUAUAUAGACAAAGGAAACCAACUUUAUUUUAUACUUUGGUAUGUUUAAAAGGCAGGGCAGGAUUGCUGGGAGCAUCGGGCCUUAUCUAGAGCUUGGUCAUAAGGGCUCAGAGCUACCUCAAGACAUAUUUCUCCCAAAAGCUCACCUAAAGGCAGUUUCCUUCUGGCUAUCAGAUUGCCCUGCAGUUUUCCCACAGAGACAUGAACACCAAGGGGAGGAUUAACUGAAUCACAGGUUUUGCCUUUGAGGAGAACUUUAUAGGCUGUCUUCAUAGCAACAAAUGCAGCUUCCAAACUGGGAGGAGGCUAUUAUCAUUUGGUCCCCCCCCCCCAACACCACCAGUUAUAUGGCUAUAGUGACACAGGCCAGUAGGGCAGAAUUCAACUGAGUCUUCACACCUGAUGUCAGUAGGUUGGCCUGGACAUAGAUAAAAAUCUGCCUUUCCUAAUUUUCAGUGCUCAUCUAGUAUUUCCUGUUACACUUCAGAGGCAGAAACUUGAGGCUGGCCUUGAAUAAGACUGUGUUCUUGGAGAUAGGUUCAGUAAAGACCUACCCAAUGGUGAAAGAGAUGAGUCAGAACAAAGGACAUGACAUGGUCAAGUUUCAAGAGUCUUAUGAUUGGGAGUCUUGCUUGACAGUGUCUUGUUGGGGAGUGGUGGUCCAUUCUUGAUUUUGGUCUGGGGCUAGCUUGACUCAGGAAUGAUGGAUCCAGGCUAGAAUUCCAUCUACCUUGAUGAUGGUUGGUAUGGUGAGAUGUAAAGUCCCCUUCAUGUAGGGGUUAAGCCUUCUUUUUGGAAUUUUUGAUAUAUACCAGAUCUCCAGCAAGGACUUGAGGAGGGAAUUAGGAGGUUGUCUUGGAUGUUAAAAUGAACCACACCUUAAACCUGUUGGAGGCUGCAGACACUAUAAAGAGACUUUGUUGUGGGAUAUUUGAUCAUACUCUGUGAAGAUGUCUCUGUUUGACCUCACCUGCCUAAGGCACCUUAGUUUAAUAAAGAGCUGAAUGGCCAAUAGCUAGGCAGGAGAGGAUAGGCGGGAUUUCUAAACAGAGAUACAAACUCUGGGAAGAAUGUGAGGCAUGGGGAUUCACCAGUGAGACAAAGAGGAAGUUGGAUAUAACAGUAUGAAGGAGAGGUAACAAGCCAUGUGGCAGAACAUAGAUUAAUAUAAAAGGGUUAAUUUAAGUUUUAAGAGCUGGUUGGGAAUAAGCCUAAGAUAAGGUAAAACUUCCAUAAUUAAUAAAUCUUGUGUCAUUAUUUGGGAGCUGGCAGUCCAAAGAAAGACCUGUUACAAGACUUACUGGCAAUUUCUUCUAAAAUAGAGUCCUUUAAUCUAGGUAGCACAGGAAGUGGCCUCCCAAAAAUAAUUUCACAGGAGGUGAGUCCUACCUUAUAGGAAAUCCAGCUAACUGGACGGCAGACCAGGGGUAGGUGGUUGGGCUGCUUUGCUGAACAGUUGGGCUAUAGAUGAUGUGAAAGAAAAUCAUUUAUCUGAGCUGAUUGAUAGACAACCGGAACCUGGGAAUUAUUUCCUGUAGGUGUUGUGGAAUAUUAGUUCAAGAUGUGUUACAUUUGUUUGUGCUUGUGAAAUAUUUGUUUGAUGAUGCAAAGAUGUGUUACAAUCUUUUAUGUCUAUCUAUGGACCAUUUAGCUUUUUAUUAAACUAAUCACAGUGAUACAUCUUUAUGGUGACAUUUUAUUUGUGCUGAAAUGUGAUUUUAUUUGUAUAUUAAUAAAUAAAGUUGCCUGGGGGUCAGAGCUAGUAGCAAGCCAUUUAGCAGAAGUCUGGCUGUGGUAGCACAUGCCCUUAAUCUGAUCACAUGGCAGGAAGAGUCUGUGUGUUCAAGGACAUAGCCAGCUUGGAGACACACGCCUUUAAUCUCAAUACCAACCAUAGAGACCUGGAGGUCUGUAUAGACAGGCAGUGACGAGGUCAUAUGGUUGGGUUUACAACCAAUGAGAAGGCAGAACAUAAAGUCAAUAAAAAUACAGAUGCACAAGAAGUAGGUCUCUUUCUCAGGGGAAGGACGGCAGUGACAGUGAGGGGGUAAGAAGGCAGUCUUAGCUCUUGGCUGCUGCUCGAUCUCUGGGCUUUUAACUCUG
Peromyscus californicus insignis is the source of this 7013-nucleotide RNA transcript. It is a transcript of the gene named CXXC finger protein 1, with no coding region annotated. The record is from RefSeq and is a predicted model, not a curated record. The transcript has 16 exons. NCBI's taxonomy places the organism in Eukaryota, Metazoa, Chordata, Mammalia, Rodentia, Cricetidae.